This 297-nucleotide ribosomal RNA is filed under the name Parahaemophilus parainfluenzae. Its description in RNAcentral is "Haemophilus parainfluenzae partial 23S ribosomal RNA". It matches the Rfam family "Bacterial large subunit ribosomal RNA", at positions 1 to 299 of the family's 2925-position model. Lineage: Bacteria; Pseudomonadati; Pseudomonadota; Gammaproteobacteria; Pasteurellales; Pasteurellaceae. The record is from RNAcentral.
GUUGUAUAGUUAAGUGACUAAGCGUACAAGGUGGAUGCCUUGGCAAUCAGAGGCGAGGAAGGACGUGCUAAUCUGCGAAAAGCUUGGAUGAGUCGAUAAGAGGCGUUUAAUCCAAGAUGUCCGAAUGGGGAAACCCAGUAGAUGAAGAAUCUACUAUCACUUACUGAAUCCAUAGGUAAGUGAGGCAAACCGGGAGAACUGAAACAUCUAAGUACCCCGAGGAAAAGAAAUCAACCGAGAUUUCGUUAGUAGCGGCGAGCGAACGCGAAGGAGCCUGUUAGUGAUAAUGACAGAGAC